CCCGAAGACUCUGUGCUGAGUUUGUGUUCCUUCCAGCUCCCUCAGAGUGGGUGGAUCAGUGCAGCCCAGCCCAGCCCAGCCUGCCAUUUACUACAUCAUCUUCUGGCUUUCCUCAGCUGCACAGCAGAACAGUCUAGCUCAGCCUGCCAGCCUGCUUGUGCCAGUAGACCUCCUGCGUUCAUUCCAGCUCCCUCCGAGUGUUUGAGUGUCCUCCUCCAGCCAGCCGUUUCGCUCCCCUUCCGCUGGCUUCUCUCAGUAAUUCAGCUAGGUGGUCUAUCCCCUAACGCCAGCCUUUCUGCCACCCAGAUAGAGGGGUCCUGCAGGAACAGCCUGCCUAGUUGUGAUCAUCAGCUGGGAAGUAGGAACAGCAGCAUCUGCCUCUGGAGAACAGGCAGCUGCUGUGGGAAACAAUAUCAAUGGUCUGCAGAAAAUCAGGGAUGGAUUAGGAGGGAAGAGGGCCUGUGCUUCUGUUCCAAGGUUGGACUCCCCCAACUGUAUUUUAUCUCCCAUGAUGCACUACAGCCAUAGGAUUGCCAUGAUGCACUGCCUCCCCUCCUAAAGAGUAAAGACCAUGGAUGGUGUGAAAGUGAAGAGGAGAGUGGUCACGUUUGCAGCAGCCAUUACUAUUGUAAGGAUUCUACAAAAAGAGGAAUUUUGUUUGUUCCAAGAGGUCAUCUGCCUCUUCUCCAUAUUCCUCAUCUGAAAUGGAUGAUGUCAAAAUCCAGAGAUGUAAGAUGAAUUUUCUCAGCCAGUUUCCAAUCUGAAAGGCUCCAAAAUAGAGCAGCAAUAUUUGACUCCAUCUAAACUCCAUUCCACAGCUUACUAUCAGCCAUGGGAAUUUACAAGCAUUCCAAGGAGCCUGAGGAAAUCCAGGAAACCACAAUGACAGCUCUACUUGAAAAGACCAUUAUAUGAUAGUGACUUGAGAGAGAAAAUGUAGCAUAUUUUACCCCAUUCAUGAAAGAUUAGAAAUAUCACUUAUAUUAAACUGUUUGGUUUAAUAAAUGAUUUGGUUUUAAUUAGAGCUGGUCAGGAAUUUUUUCAUAGAAUGUUUUUUGUUGAAAAAUGCCAGUUUGUUGAAACCAAAACUUUGUGCAGGAAUGUAGCAUAUUCAGCAACGUUUUCAAGAGAGGUUUCUGAGGUACAAGAUGGAAUAUGUAGUCACAGAGGGAGAGAGACAGACAGAUACCAGAACAGCCUGGGACUUGGGAGGCCUGUGUUCAUGACCUUGAUCCAAAUCAACUACAGUGGGGAUUCAAACCUGGGUCUUACAGAUUGCAGGUGAGUUUCCUAAUACAAGGCUAUUCUGGGGCCCUUCUCUGUGUGGGGGGAAAACUUCAGAAGGUCUGUUUUGUCCCAAAGUGCAACAGAAAAUUUUUUGAAAUCUUGAAAAUUUUUGUGGGACAGGUAUCAGAGGGGUAGCUGUGUUAGUCUGGAUCUGUAAAAGCAGCAAAGAGUCCGGUGGCACCUUCUAGACUAACAGACGUAUUGGAGCAUGAGCUUUCGUGGGUGAAUACUCACUUCGUCGGAUGCAUGGGACAGGAGAGCCAUUUCCCUACUAGCUCCAGUUGUAAUGCCUUGUGGGCAGACAUUUGUUUGCAUCAGCUGGGAUUUUCCAUAUAAAGGUCAUAGUGAUUGACUUCUUGGAGAUAUGGCUACGUUCUUACUUGUGUCUUGCUGUAUCAUGUGCAAACUUUUUUUUAAAUGUACCAUUUGUUCUCUUUAAGUAAUUUACACAUUAUAGGCAAGAAGCCUCCUCAGAGAAAUUACUGGUUAUUUUCCCAUCCAUAUGUUUAACAAUGAGCUUGGUGUGAUGCUGUGUAUAAGAAAGAUGAUCAUUUGUAUCAUUGUUUCUACCACUAUUAUACAAUUGCAACACAUUUUGUACGACGUAUGUCAUGUAAGGUGUCAAUGGAAAAGUUACGAUUUACUAAGUAUGAUUAUCCUGUUUAUAUGCAUGGUAUCGUCUUUGUAUGUGAAGUUAUGAAUAUUGGCUAUGGACUUGUAUCUUAAACAUGUGUUGUAUUCCUGGAUGACACCCCUCAGACAGAAUUUACAUCAGGGCUAGACAACUAUGUGUUGAUGGCCCAUCAAGGACACUCCACUCUCACAAUGGGUCAUUGAAGAAACUCAUGCUGCCCAGUACAUCUUUCUGCAGAUGCCUCAGACAGAGAGGAGCCAAUGGCCAUCCCCUGUGAUUCAGCAAAACAUGUAGGGGUAUGUGAUAUGCUCAUGUGAUCCCGGACUCCAUCUUGGCCUGAAACUUUCCACACACAGGGACUGUGGGCUUUGUUUGGAACAGUAAGUUUCCAUGCACAUGACAGAGGAUAUAAAAAGAAACCCGAGACACCUCCAUGUUGCCUCUUUCCUGCUCUACUUCUCUGGAUUGUGGAUUUACAACUAAAAGGAGCACCUUGAACUAUGGACUGAGCACCUUCCAAUCUUUUGGAAGUUGCCAGAGAGACUUGAAAAGCCAGCAGUCUGUUUCACCACUGUGACUUUGCAAUCAUUAGUAUGUAUGUGAUCUAUUAACCAUUUAUAACUCUCUUCUUUUCUUUUAUUAUUGAAUUUUUAGUUAGUUUACUAAGGAUUGUCUGACAUUGUGAUCUUUGGGUAAGGUCUGAGAUUCAUAUUGACCUGAGGAUAGAAAGAAUCUCACAUAUGGUGAAAUGGGUUUUCAAUAACCUCUCACUAUAUUAGAUUGGGUUGCCUGGAUGGGAGCCAAGGGCUGGAAUGCCUAAAGGGGACUGUGUUUGGCUUCUGGUUAAACAGUGUGGUACUGCAGAUGCUCUUUUGUUACUGAUUUGGUGAAUCUAAUUAUAAAGUAAACCACCAGAUUUGGGGAUUGUCUGCCCUGAGUGUGGCAUUAUCAGUGUGGUCUAUCACAGGCACCCAGUCACACCUGGUGUAAGAGCUCUGGCUGGAUAAGCACCCAAACAUUCUGAUAUAUAUUUUUUUAAUCCUUGUCAGAUCUGGAAAUUUCUCCCUCUGUAUUGGACAGAAAUACAAUGGAAAAAAGCCUCUCUUGAAAUAUCUUGGUUGCUUUCAGCAAGAACCAGAAAGUCCAGAGGCACACAAAUAUGAAGUAAAAAAGAUUAAGCACAUCUUUGCAGAUCUUAAACCUACCAACCAAAUCAAACAUCCUACCAACAACAAACCACCACCACCACAAAUUUGGUUUGAGUUUUUGGGGUAAAGGUUUGGCUCUUUCUUUUGAGAAUUUAUGAUUUAUUGUUCCAAUUUUUUAAAUAAAUUUCUUUUGUGAGAAGUUAAUAUUUCCUUUUGUAGGGUGAGUUUAGAUAGUAAACCUCAAGGCCAUCGCUCAGAUAAUUUUGAGGAAAUGUAUAGCUGGCAUUUUCCAAGUUUCAUAGGUGGAUUUAUCCCCACAACUUCCAUCAGUUUGAAUGGGAACGUCGAGGCAAAUUCAUGUUGUCAGUUUUGAAAACCUCAGUGUUCUCUGCCUAUAACAUCCAUAGUACUUGUCUCCAUACUAGUCAUUAACUGAGGAAUUUUCAACCAGUUGGUUAAGUUGUGGUUCUACUCUGAAACACUGUUAAGAUAAAAGAUGCCUCCACCCAAUGGAUCUGCUUUUUGUAUGUACCUACUUCUUGAUAUUAGUGACAAAGAGGUGUUCAUUCUUCAUUAAUCUCAUUUAACACUAGAGUCUGGGCUAGAGAAAGGAAUCUGUAUUCUAUUCUGUUUUGUGAAUCUUCAACAGAAUUGUUUGCUACGUUCCAAUCAGUGUCACAUGCACAGCCCCGAGGUUGCACAGGUGUCACCGAGGGCAUACCUUAAAGAUGCACAGAUAUAACUGCUGUUGUGAUUUGCCCUACAAAACCUUCAUUACUAGUUGUGAUACAUGAGAAGGAAAGAGCCCAUCUUGAUUCUCAGGUCCCUGGUUGUUUCCAAGGCUAGCAAAAGGAGACUUAGGGCAUUUGAUAUGGAAAUCAAUUUGAGACAAUAAAUGUGGAACCCCAUGUGUAACAUUAUUGGGUUUCACCAGACUCCUGUACUGUUGCAGGUGGUGAAAGUGGCUCUUUGUAGCUGAAUGUAUAGCCAGUUAGACUGUGGGGAAAAUGACUUUUGCCAUUGAUGCUGUAGUUGCUUUUAGGUGCUUUGCUGAGCCUAUCACCAGUAAAAGCUUUGUCUUAGCUUGAAUCUUUCUUCUUUAGUCUCUCUCACUCAUUGGGCUAUUUCUUAAGCAUGGAGCUGCUGCCACAGAAGCAAACAAAAUAUUACAUGGUUCCAAAGCAUUAUGCAAUGAUGCCAUGUUACAGAAUCAUUUUUCAGAGCAGAGCUGCACCUUAAGCAAGAUUUUGGUCCAAAUAAGUUGACAUGGGCCGGCUUGAAAGAAAUUGCAUGCUGGUUUUUUGCUAUGUGCUGCUUGCUAAAUUCCACAUCCAUCCCCAAAUGCUGUUAAUCCAAGUGGGCUGUGUUCUUUAGUAUAAUAAAGUACCUUUUCUCUCCCUUUUAAAAAACUAUUGUGUUUGAUUUGCCAGGCUACAAUCCUCAGGAAUCUUACAUCUCGCUAGAGAAUGCCUACAGUUAGCAACUGAUUUUGAUCCUUUCCAUCUUCAUUUCUUUUAAAUGGAUGGAGGUUACCUGGACCUGGACCUUUGCCUCCCCUGAAAUCUGCAGUCUUUAAAUAAUGCUACCCAGAGUGACCGUCCCUGUUUAAUUCCUUCAUUUUGUGGCAUUUGGCAAUGAGUGAUUUUUCUAGUUUUGCUCCAGGGAACCCAUCCCAGAACAAAAUGUUAUGCAGGUACAACUGUAAACAAAACUGAAAUGGCUAGGCCAUGCAGUAGCAAUUCAGGAUCAUUUGCCAUCCUCUUGGAAUUCAGGAAAGUGUCAGCUAAGGUCAGGACUCUUCUGGGAAAAUUAGACGGAUGGUAAAAGUAUUACCAGCCGACUAUCAAACGCCACAUACCAUGAAAUAUCCCUGACUUAGGCAACCCUUCCCUUCCUGUAAUGACAGAAGGAAAGCAACUGUUUAAGAAAUCUGUCACUUUCUUAUCCCCCGUCUCCAAUUCCCCAAUACCAAUUUUAGUGAACCAAGUUUCUCCAUUACAUUCUGUGUGUUUGUGGGCAUAUUUGUAAAGCUCUUUAUUAUUAGAUGAAAUAUUAUCUGCAAUUUAACAUUUGGUGCUUCCCCCCUCCCCCAUAACAUGGUGAUUUUCGUAACACUGCUCCACUUCUUAUCAGAUUUUUGGCUGGUUUCUGUUCUCUGUUACACUGAUAUAAACCAGGACUAGUACCCCUGACUUCUUUUUUGGCUGCUUGCUGUCUGUUUCAUGAGGACUUGGAGAAUCAAAGCCUUUGCACCAAUGGAACUGUUCAUGGAAAGAGAGAUUUCAGGAUAGGGUCCAUAAAUGGCCUGGUGUAGCUAGAGAAACUUCUAUCCAUCUACAGCAUCUCCAAGAUGCUGCUUAUCUUGGCAGCUAAGAGCUGACUUGAAUUGAAUUGGACUUGAUGACUUGAACUUGAGCACUGACCCGUAUCCUCAGUUUGAGGUAAAGAUUUUUGAGUCUCUGAUUUUGAUGCUGGGCUUCAGUGGGACUAAGCACCCACAAUACCUGUUGAUUUUGAUGGAAAGUGAAGCUGCUUGGCACCUUUUAGAGUUAGGCCCUUUGUUUGUUUCUUAUUGUACUUUACUGUUUAUUGAACUUUACUGUUUCAGUAAAUAAUCCGGUAUAAAACUAUAUGCUUCUGGUCAGGACCUUCUUUCUUCUCUCAUAUAUUUCAUAUUUUCAUGUAUAUACAUACAUGUACACCAUAAACUGGGAUGACCAGUGUAAUUUCCUCAUGAUUCUACUAUUUGUGUCAUGCAACCAUCUCAGUUAUGCUGAUUUAAACCCCUAGACAUCACCACUCUUUCUGUGUGUGCUCACUUUCUGUCUCUCAUGUAUGAGUGUGUGUGUGAUGUUAUGGUGCAAUCUAGAGAUUUAUUGUUAUGAAUUUGGGAUGACCAUACCACUCAUGAGUGGGAGUUAUGUAGUUCAUCCCAACAAGUGUCAAUAACGACUUUAUACCACAUAUUCCCUAUAUGUGCCAGAUGUUCCACAGAAAGCUUUUUAAGGAAUCUUUUAGAGAGUUAUAAAGUUGUUUCUUGGUGCAGAUUUUCAAACCCCUUCACCUGGAAGUCUUAGUUACCAUUAGUACAAUGGUAGAAACUUCCAAGGGAGAAGAAAAUCAUAAAUAAUACAUUUUAGAAUCCUUAAAAAUGUCCUAAAACAGCUUUUCCAUGCAUAAUGUAUAUUAUUUCACCUGUGGGAUUAUACUAAACAAAACUAAGGACAUAAUGGAAACAAUUUUCUAUAAAUAUUCAUUCAAAUUAAAAACCAAAUUUCAAUUCAGCUAUGUUCAUGAUCCUUUGUGUUCACUUUCUUUGAACUUUCAA
This is a long non-coding RNA of Mauremys mutica (yellowpond turtle), 6397 nucleotides long. RefSeq lists it as uncharacterized. The record is from RefSeq and is a predicted model, not a curated record. The transcript has 5 exons. NCBI's taxonomy places the organism in Eukaryota, Metazoa, Chordata, Testudines, Geoemydidae.